Molecule: long non-coding RNA, 216 nt
Organism: Pristis pectinata (smalltooth sawfish)
Lineage: Eukaryota; Metazoa; Chordata; Chondrichthyes; Rhinopristiformes; Pristidae
Exons: 2
Source: RefSeq, a predicted model, not a curated record
UGGGUCUGCUUUCAGCUUCAGAUGUGUCCGUGUGGUGGGGGGAGCUGACUGCUGUCAGGGUACAGUGAAGCGAGAUAAUGACUACUGACUGUUCUGCCUCACUCAGGACCACUGGAGCUGCAGUUGUUGGCUGCACGGGAAAUUGCUCACGAAGCUGUGUACUCAACUUCUCCGGCAUGCAAAGUCUUCAGUGUAAUUAAAUGCAUUUGGUCAUAA